RNAcentral lists this ribosomal RNA (400 nucleotides) under uncultured bacterium. RNAcentral describes it as "bacterial SSU rRNA". It matches the Rfam family "Bacterial small subunit ribosomal RNA", at positions 28 to 428 of the family's 1533-position model. The record is from RNAcentral.
GACGAACGCUGGCGGCGUGCCUAACACAUGCAAGUCGAACGGGACUUAAGGGGCUUGCUCCUUAAGUUUAGUGGCGAACGGGUGAGUAACGCGUGAGAAACCUGCCUUCCAGUGGGGGACAACAGUUGGAAACGACUGCUAAUACCGCAUAACACUUUAGUACCGCAUGGUACAGAAGUCAAAGCUUUAUGUGCUGGAAGAUGGUCUCGCGUCUGAUUAGCUAGAUGGCGGGGUAACGGCCCACCAUGGCGACGAUCAGUAGCCGGUCUGAGAGGAUGAACGGCCACAUUGGGACUGAGAUACGGCCCAGACUCCUACGGGAGGCAGCAGUGGGGAAUAUUGGGCAAUGGGGGAAACCCUGACCCAGCAACGCCGCGUGAAGGAAGAAGGCCUGGUGUAA